This is a long non-coding RNA of Dendrobium catenatum, 291 nucleotides long. RefSeq lists it as uncharacterized. The record is from RefSeq and is a predicted model, not a curated record. The transcript is spliced from 2 exons. Lineage: Eukaryota; Viridiplantae; Streptophyta; Magnoliopsida; Asparagales; Orchidaceae.
AGGUUGUGAACGUUUAGGUGAAAGAACUUUUUCGAAGCGACGUGCCGUACUUGGUUUGAUGAGAGAAGUGAUGGCUGCACGACGAUCGUACACGUAUCGUCGUAGGGGACCUUAGGAAGAAAAGUUCCUUUUUAUGAUUUCAAUUUGAGUCUUUGUUAUGUACCUGUGUAGUUUGUGAGUAUAAGUUUGAGUUUAGAGUUUAUGUAAUUGUGAAAGUUUAUGUAAUGAUGAUGAGUUUGAAAAUUUUAGUAGUCAUGUGUGAUGAUCAGUAUGAAUCUCUCUUUUAUUUGA